RNAcentral lists this long non-coding RNA (394 nucleotides) under Vigna radiata. Its description in RNAcentral is "long non-coding RNA (VRAD_LNC007463)". The record is from RNAcentral. Lineage: Eukaryota; Viridiplantae; Streptophyta; Magnoliopsida; Fabales; Fabaceae.
AACGACAAGGGUAGGUUGAGUAAGGAGGAGAUAGAGAAGAUGGUGAAGGAUGCAGAGAGGUACAAGGCAGAGGAUGAAGAGGUGAAGAAGAAGGUGGAGGCGAAAAACUCGCUCGAGAAUUAUGCUUACAACAUGAGGAACACGAUAAAGGAUGAGAAGAUAGGGGGGAAGUUGGGGGCGGAUGAUAAGCAGAAGAUUGAGAAGGCUGUGGAGGAUGCGAUUCAGUGGCUGGAGGGGAACCAGUUGGCGGAAGUGGACGAGCUUGAAGACAAGCUGAAGGAGUUGGAAGGAAUCUGCAACCCCAUCAUUGCCAAGAUGUAUCAGGGUGGUGCUGGUGGAGAUGUUCCUAUGGCUGAUGACAUGCCUGGUGGUGGGUCUGGUUCUGCUGCUGGAC